UACGGGUAAGGGCAAACUUGUCGAAAGGCAAGGACGCAAAGCCAUGGGUCUUCGGACGGCAGAUCGCCGUCACAGACAGCCAGGUUGCAGGA
RNAcentral lists this non-coding RNA (92 nucleotides) under Tumebacillus sp. Its description in RNAcentral is "c-di-GMP sequence". It matches the Rfam family "c-di-GMP-I riboswitch aptamer". From Rfam's summary of the family: GEMM was predicted in a large-scale screen for bacterial structured RNA regulatory elements. The record is from RNAcentral. Lineage: Bacteria; Bacillati; Bacillota; Bacilli; Caryophanales; Alicyclobacillaceae.